UACGGGGGGAGCAAGCGUUGUUCGGAUUUACUGGGCGUAAAGGGCGCGUAGGCGGUAGCACAAGUCAGUUGUGAAAUCUCCGGGCUUAACUCGGAAAGGUCAACUGAUACUGUGCGACUAGAGUGCAGAAGGGGCAACUGGAAUUCUCGGUGUAGCGGUGAAAUGCGUAGAUAUCGAGAGGAACACCUGCGGCGAAGGCGGGUUGCUGGGCUGACACUGACGCUGAGGCGCGAAAGCGUGGGGAGCGAACGGG
RNAcentral lists this ribosomal RNA (253 nucleotides) under uncultured bacterium. Its description in RNAcentral is "partial 16S ribosomal RNA". It matches the Rfam family "Bacterial small subunit ribosomal RNA", at positions 524 to 776 of the family's 1533-position model. The record is from RNAcentral.